Molecule: non-coding RNA, 1545 nt
Organism: Equus caballus (horse)
Lineage: Eukaryota; Metazoa; Chordata; Mammalia; Perissodactyla; Equidae
Source: RefSeq, a predicted model, not a curated record
UCACAAGGCUGAAAGUCCCCCGGAUACCACAAUCCAGCAGGAAGCGGCCCUCACUGGUGAGGGGUUGCCCGUUUCUGUGCCACGUCACUUGGGGCUCUGGGUAGCCCCGGACCUUCAAGGAAAAGAAGAAAGGUGGCUACUAGAAAAGUUACAACAAUCUACAUGCCUGGCUUGAUGUUUUUAUCAGGCAGUGCAGCUCUAGACAGCUCUUUCUCUAAUAAUAGGUAGCAGCUAACAUCUGUUGAGUGCUAAGCGUUAAGCACUUUUCUAAGUACCUGACAGAUCUGAGCUUCCUAGCAACUUGUUCAGACAGAAGAUAUUUCUCAAAAGACGGGAAAAUGCAGAGAGAGAGAAAUUCCAAGCAAAGAAAUCACCUUGAAUUUCAGAGAAAGGAAGUUCCCCAAGGACCCUCAAACUCCUGAAACUCAACAGGCCCUUCAGAACGGACUCAUCUUUGGAGGAGCAGGGCUCACACUGGCCCAUCAAUACACAGCCUGCGACCCAGAACUGGGGGAUUUUAGCACUGGAAAAUGCACAGAGGACAUCACAGAAGCCUCCUGAGAAAGAAGCUGUUUGUGUUAGACAAUGGUGGUAGCAACUGCUUUUAUCGAUGUAUCUACUCCGAGACAACAGAGGAUGAAGCCACCAAAAUUUGCUGGCUGACCCCAGAUUGCAUUUACAAAGAAAGCCUUCAAUGACCUACAGCGAUAAUCCUCCUCACACCCCUCAGCAAGGUCAGAGGGGAUGCUAUAACAGCACAUGGGAGAAAGGAGGAGGUAAAACAGCAUGUGCAUGCACACCUGGGCAUCCAAACACAGUUAAUUCCCUAAGCAUCCUAAGCGAAGAGAGAACCCUGUAAAUGCAGCAGUAGUCGUCCUUGGGCUGUGCUCUCUCCCUUCCCAGGUGUCCAGCCCCCAACUCGUCCUUAGACCUGUUUCUCAGUAGCCAGGAUGCAGAUGUCUUCCUGGGGAAGGAAGCCUUGAAUCACAGAGAAAAUCCCCAAAGUGAACAAUCCCCUCUUAGGUUAUUCCACCGUCACCCCCUCAGUGCCGGCUUAGGAAUCUCACAAGGCCAGCCUCCCCAGCUCACUCCUUUGUAGUCAAGCUUCAGUGAAAAAGAAACAAAAGCAAAUCAAAACCCCAAAUCAAUAUUCUCCAUCUUAUUUGCAAUUUCUGGAAACAGAAAAAUCCCUUUCCUAUCAAAAUCUACACUCUACCCACGAUAGAGAUUGAGUCCCUGUGAGAGAAUGCUUAUAUUCUGAAGUCACUUUCCCCACAAGCAUGACAACACUGUCUGAAGCCACUGCAGCCUCAGCAAGCACAUGAGUCCUCUCACAGGCUGCCCAUGUUGGAGGGGACCACAUUCAUUCGGACAGAUAAGCUCUCACAUCUAUUAUAACAUGAAACAAAGUGUUGACAGUGGUUGUCUCUGGGUCUCUCCUCUUUUCCUUUUACUUAACUAUUAUUUUCUGAUAUUUCUGCAGACAACAUGCCUGGCCUUUGUAAAACAAACAAAAAAAUUUUAAUAAAAACUGUAUUCCUUUUA